CUUGUGUCUGCAGGUGUCCUGUCUGAGGUGCAGCUGGUGGAGUCUGGGGGAGACCUGGUGAAGCCUGGGGGUUCCCUGAGACUCUCCUGUGCAGCCUCUGGAUUCACCUUCAGUAGCUAUGGCAUGAGCUGGGUCCACCAGGCCCCAGGGAAGGGGCUGCAGUGGGUCGCAGAUAUUAGCAAGGGUGGUAGUUACACAUACUACACAGACUCUGUGAAGGGCCGAUUCACCAUCUCCAGAGACAAUGGCAAGAACACGCUGUAUCUGCAGAUGAACAGCCUGAGAACCGAGGACACGGCCGUGUAUUACUGUGCAACAGACACAGUUCUCAAUGGGUUGGAGGAUACUCACCUGCACUGGGAACGGAAACCUGUUACACAGCAGGAAUCCAAUGCUAAUAUCACCUAG
Mustela lutreola (European mink) is the source of this 408-nucleotide non-coding RNA. NCBI's taxonomy places the organism in Eukaryota, Metazoa, Chordata, Mammalia, Carnivora, Mustelidae. The record is from the annotation of a RefSeq genome assembly.